UUAGUGGCCGAGUGUGGCUGCUGGGUCAUGGCGUGAGUUGCAUGGCAGAAGUGCCUAAACUUUUUGUAUAUAUAGUGCUUUGAGUAAUGAAAAAAGAAGGCCGUGAGGGCUGAUGCAAAGAUGUAGCCACGGUGUGCCAUCAAGGGAGUGCCUUUGGCAAAGCAAUUGCAUUUCUCUUGGUGCUGGUGUGUGUGUGUUUCUUUCUCGGUUUCUUCCAGCGUGUGUGUUCUUGAGAGAAACAAGAGGAAGAGAGAGUCAUGUGAGGUAGAAGAAGAAGCGGCGCCAACAAGUACGAGCCCCAUCCUAUUCUUUAUUACAGUAUCUUUCAAGAAUCAAGACUACAAGGAAAACCCAGUUUCUUUCAGGGGUCAAGACUGCCAAGGACAACCCAGCUGAUUAGUAAUAAAUAAUUGUGUUUCAGUUCCUUUAAAAAAAUGUAGUUGUGUUUCAGUUCUGUAAGUAUAAAGUGCAUGCUUCAUAUUGUCAAUAAACUCAUCAAAUUAAAAAGAUGCAUGAUGUAUA
Molecule: long non-coding RNA, 522 nt
Organism: Triticum aestivum (bread wheat)
Lineage: Eukaryota; Viridiplantae; Streptophyta; Magnoliopsida; Poales; Poaceae
Exons: 2
Source: RefSeq, a predicted model, not a curated record